Molecule: ribosomal RNA, 433 nt
Filed under: uncultured bacterium
Lineage: Bacteria
Description: partial 16S ribosomal RNA
Rfam family: Bacterial small subunit ribosomal RNA
Source: RNAcentral
AACGAACGCUGGCGGCAUGCCUAACACAUGCAAGUCGAACGAAACCUUCGGGUCUAGUGGCGCACGGGUGCGUAACGCGUGGGAACCUGCCCUUAGGUUCGGAAUAACUCCCCGAAGGGGGUGCUAAUACCGGAUAAUGUCUUCGGCCCAAAGAUUUAUCGCCUUUGGAUGGGCCCGCGUUGGAUUAGCUAGUUGGUAGGGUAAAAGCCUAUCAAGGCGACGAUCCAUAGCUGGUCUGAGAGGAUGAUCAGCCACACUGGAACUGAGACACGGCCCAGACUCCUACGGGAGGCAGCAGAGGGGAAUAUAGGACAAGGGGCGAAAGCCUGAUCCAGCAAUGCCGGGUAAGUGAUGAAGGCCGUAGGGUUGUAAAGCUCUUUUACCCGGGAUGAUAAUGACAGUACCGGGAGAAUAAGCUCCGGCUAACUCCGUG